This is a non-coding RNA of Podarcis lilfordi (Lilford's wall lizard), 190 nucleotides long. The record is from the annotation of a GenBank genome assembly. NCBI's taxonomy places the organism in Eukaryota, Metazoa, Chordata, Lepidosauria, Squamata, Lacertidae.
UUCCUGAUGUUGAGUCGGUAUUUCCUUUUUUGUAAUUUGAAUGCAUUGGUUUGAGUCCUACUCUGCGGAGCGGGUGAAAACAAGCAUGCUCCUUCCUACAUGUGAUAGCCCUUUAGAUAUUUGAAGAUGACUACCAUAUCUCCUCCCAAUCUCCUCUUUUCCAGGCUAAACAUACCCAACUCCCUCAAUC